Molecule: non-coding RNA, 355 nt
Organism: Penaeus vannamei (Pacific white shrimp)
Lineage: Eukaryota; Metazoa; Arthropoda; Malacostraca; Decapoda; Penaeidae
Source: RefSeq, a predicted model, not a curated record
GCAGAAAGUCUCAUGGUCUACUCGAGCUGCCCGAGGUUGACAUCACCGACUGCGAGAACCACAGCCAGUGCAAGAACCGCUGCACAAAGGAGUUCAACGAAAUGACUAACGAAAUGGAUUUGUGGUCGACCGUGAAUGGUGAGACUGUUGGUCAGUUCAUCUGCCAGAACCUAUACGGAAACUUCGUCAUGUUCAUCCACAACUCAUAUGUUCACGCCUACUACGAGGUUUGCGGCGGACCCUGGGAGUACGCCGGCCUCGACUCCCAGCAGAUGCUGUGCUGCAGUCUGGGCCAGCAUGAGCACUGCAUCAGCCGUUGAUAUGGUUUUUGCUAAUAAAUCCCUAAAAACCCUCA